RNAcentral lists this ribosomal RNA (253 nucleotides) under uncultured bacterium. RNAcentral describes it as "partial 16S ribosomal RNA". It matches the Rfam family "Bacterial small subunit ribosomal RNA", at positions 524 to 776 of the family's 1533-position model. The record is from RNAcentral.
UACGAAGGGGGCUAGCGUUGCUCGGAAUUACUGGGCGUAAAGGGCGCGUAGGCGGAUACUUAAGUCGGGGGUGAAAGCCCAGGGCUCAACCCUGGAACAGCCUUCGAUACUGGGUAUCUUGAGUCCGGGAGAGGUGAGUGGAACUCCGAGUGUAGAGGUGAAAUUCGUAGAUAUUCGGAAGAACACCAGUGGCGAAGGCGGCUCACUGGCCCGGUACUGACGCUGAGGUGCGAAAGCGUGGGGAGCAAACAGG